RNAcentral lists this ribosomal RNA (541 nucleotides) under uncultured bacterium. Its description in RNAcentral is "partial 16S ribosomal RNA". It matches the Rfam family "Bacterial small subunit ribosomal RNA", at positions 355 to 887 of the family's 1533-position model. The record is from RNAcentral.
UGGGGAAUAUUGCACAAUGGGCGCAAGCCUGAUGCAGCCAUGCCGCGUGUGUGAAGAAGGCCUUCGGGUUGUAAAGCACUUUCAGCGAGGAGGAAGGUGGUGGACUUAAUACGUUCAUCAAUUGACGUUACUCGCAGAAGAAGCACCAGCUAACUCCGUGCCAGCAGCCGCGGUAAUACGGAGGGUGCAAGCGUUAAUCGGAAUUACUGGGCGUAAAGCGCACGCAGGCGGUUUGUUAAGUCAGAUGUGAAAUCCCCGGGCUCAACCUGGGAACUGCAUUUGAAACUGGCAAGCUAGAGUCUCGUAGAGGGGGGUAGAAUUCCAGGUGUAGCGGUGAAAUGCGUAGAGAUCUGGAGGAAUACCGGUGGCGAAGGCGGCCCCCUGGANGAAGACUGACGCUCAGGAGCGAAAGCGUGGGGAGCAAACNGGAUUANAUACCCUGGUAGUCCACGCUGUAAACGAUGUCGAUUUUGGAGGUUGUGCCCUUGAGGCGUGGCUUCCGGAGCUAACGCGUUAAAUCGACCGCCUGGGGAGUACGGCC